CAGCCACCUUUUAAAAAGCGUUAAAGCUUAAUUUAACCUUAUAUAAACCCCUCAAUUAUUUAUGAACCCUUACCCCUUACUGAAUGAUUUUAUAAUAUAUAAAAAACACCAUGCUAGAACUAGUAACAAGAAUUCAACAUUCUCCAAAAUGCAAGUGUAAGCCAAAAUGGAUCCCCCAUUGGCAAUUAACGAAAAUGAGUAAUCUGCAGUAACAUAACAAGAAAAAUCUGCACUUUACAAUCGUUAACCUAACACCAGAACAUUCCCGGAAAGAUUAAAAGAAAAAGAAGGAACUCGGCAAAUUUCAACCCCGCCUGUUUACCAAAAACAUCGCCUCUUGCCAACAAUAAGAGGUCCAGCCUGCCCAGUGAUAGAAUUCAACGGCCGCGGUACCCUAACCGCGCGAAGGUAGCACAAUCACUUGUUCUUUAAAUAGGGACUUGUAUCAACGGCACCACGAGGAUUGUACUGUCUCCUUUCUCUAAUCAGUGAAACUGAUCUCCCCGUGAAAAAGCGGGGAUACAUAUAUAAGACGAGAAGACCCCAUGGAGCUUUAAACCUACAGCAACUCAAUUAUAAAAUUCUUCACAAUCUUAGAGAAAUGACUAUUGGUUUUAGGUUGGGGUGACCACGGAGUAAAAACUAACCUCCACAACGCACAAACCUAAAUUUUUAUUUAAGAGCCACAACUCUAAAAAUUAGCACACUAACGUAUACUGAUCCGAUAAUCGAUUAAUGAACCAAGUUACCCUGGGGAUAACAGCGCAAUCUAUUUAAAGAGUUCAUAUCGACAAAUAGGCUUACGACCUCGAUGUUGGAUCAGGGUAUCCCAGUGGUGCAGCCGCUACUAAUGGUUCGU
Molecule: ribosomal RNA, 859 nt
Filed under: Kurixalus verrucosus (small rough-armed tree frog)
Lineage: Eukaryota; Metazoa; Chordata; Amphibia; Anura; Rhacophoridae
Description: partial 16S ribosomal RNA
Rfam family: Bacterial large subunit ribosomal RNA
Source: RNAcentral